RNAcentral lists this transfer RNA (72 nucleotides) under Candidatus Anammoximicrobium sp. Its description in RNAcentral is "tRNA-Asn". It matches the Rfam family "tRNA". From Rfam's summary of the family: Transfer RNA (tRNA) molecules are approximately 80 nucleotides in length. The record is from RNAcentral. Lineage: Bacteria; Pseudomonadati; Planctomycetota; Planctomycetia; Pirellulales; Pirellulaceae. RNAcentral also lists the same sequence under 1 other name.
GGGUCGGUAGCUCAGCGGCAGAGCGGGUGCCUGUUAAGCACCGGGUCGUGGGUUCGAGUCCCGCCCGUCCCU